This 719-nucleotide ribosomal RNA is filed under the name Salmonella enterica. Its description in RNAcentral is "partial 23S ribosomal RNA". It matches the Rfam family "Bacterial large subunit ribosomal RNA", at positions 2084 to 2802 of the family's 2925-position model. The record is from RNAcentral. Lineage: Bacteria; Pseudomonadati; Pseudomonadota; Gammaproteobacteria; Enterobacterales; Enterobacteriaceae.
AAAGACCCCGUGAACCUUUACUAUAGCUUGACACUGAACAUUGAGCCUUGAUGUGUAGGAUAGGUGGGAGGCUUUGAAGUGUGGACGCCAGUCUGCAUGGAGCCGGCCUUGAAAUACCACCCUUUAAUGUUUGAUGUUCUAACGUGGACCCGUAAUCCGGGUUGCGGACAGUGUCUGGUGGGUAGUUUGACUGGGGCGGUCUCCUCCUAAAGAGUAACGGAGGAGCACGAAGGUUGGCUAAUCCUGGUCGGACAUCAGGAGGUUAGUGCAAUGGCAUAAGCCAGCUUGACUGCGAGCGUGACGGCGCGAGCAGGUGCGAAAGCAGGUCAUAGUGAUCCGGUGGUUCUGAAUGGAAGGGCCAUCGCUCAACGGAUAAAAGGUACUCCGGGGAUAACAGGCUGAUACCGCCCAAGAGUUCAUAUCGACGGCGGUGUUUGGCACCUCGAUGUCGGCUCAUCACAUCCUGGGGCUGAAGUAGGUCCCAAGGGUAUGGCUGUUCGCCAUUUAAAGUGGUACGCGAGCUGGGUUUAGAACGUCGUGAGACAGUUCGGUCCCUAUCUGCCGUGGGCGCUGGAGAACUGAGGGGGGCUGCUCCUAGUACGAGAGGACCGGAGUGGACGCAUCACUGGUGUUCGGGUUGUCAUGCCAAUGGCACUGCCCGGUAGCUAAAUGCGGAAGAGAUAAGUGCUGAAAGCAUCUAAGCACGAAACUUGCCCCGA